AGUGAACGCUGGCGGUAGGCCUAACACAUGCAAGUCGAACGGCAGCACAGUAAGAGCUUGCUCUUACGGGUGGCGAGUGGCGGACGGGUGAGGAAUACAUCGGAAUCUACUUUUUCGUGGGGGAUAACGUAGGGAAACUUACGCUAAUACCGCAUACGACCUACGGGUGAAAGCAGGGGAUCUUCGGACCUUGCGCGUUUGAAUGAGCCGAUGUCGGAUUAGUUAGUUGGCGGGGUAAAGGCCCACCAAGGCGACGAUCCGUAGCUGGUCUGAGAGGAUGAUCAGCCACACUGGAACUGAGACACGGUCCAGACUCCUACGGGAGGCAGCAGUGGGGAAUAUUGGACAAUGGGCGCAAGCCUGAUCCAGCCAUACCGCGUGGGUGAAGAAGGCCUUCGGGUUGUAAAGCCCUUUUGUUGGGAAAGAAAAGCAGCAGGUUAAUACCCCGCUGUUCUGACGGUACCCAAAGAAUAAGCACCGGCUAACUUCGUG
RNAcentral lists this ribosomal RNA (492 nucleotides) under uncultured bacterium. Its description in RNAcentral is "partial 16S ribosomal RNA". It matches the Rfam family "Bacterial small subunit ribosomal RNA", at positions 29 to 507 of the family's 1533-position model. The record is from RNAcentral.